CAGGUCAGCAUACUGCCGUGAAUACGUUCCCGGGCCCUUGUACACACCGCCCGUCACACCAUGAGAGUUGGGAAUACCCGAAGCCUGUGAGCUAACUGUAAGGAGGCAGCAGUCGAAGGUAGAAUCAAUGAUUGGGGCUAAGUCGUAACAAGGUACC
This 157-nucleotide ribosomal RNA is filed under the name uncultured bacterium. RNAcentral's name for it is "partial 16S ribosomal RNA". It matches the Rfam family "Bacterial small subunit ribosomal RNA", at positions 1345 to 1500 of the family's 1533-position model. The record is from RNAcentral.